CGUACACUCCUACGGGAGGCAGCAGUGGGGAAUAUUGGACAAUGGGCGCAAGCCUGAUCCAGCCAUGCCGCGUGAGUGAUGAAGGCCCUAGGGUUGUAAAGCUCUUUCACCGGUGAAGAUAAUGACGGUAACCGGAGAAGAAGCCCCGGCUAACUUCGUGCCAGCAGCCGCGGUAAUACGAAGGGGGCUAGCGUUGUUCGGAUUUACUGGGCGUAAAGCGCACGUAGGCGGACUAUUAAGUCAGGGGUGAAAUCCCGGGGCUCAACCCCGGAACUGCCUUUGAUACUGGUAGUCUUGAGUUCGAGAGAGGUGAGUGGAAUUCCGAGUGUAGAGGUGAAAUUCGUAGAUAUUCGGAGGAACACCAGUGGCGAAGGCGGCUCACUGGCUCGAUACUGACGCUGAGGUGCGAAAGCGUGGGGAGCAAACAGGAUGAGAAACCCCGGUAGUCCCAUGAU
RNAcentral lists this ribosomal RNA (455 nucleotides) under uncultured organism. Its description in RNAcentral is "partial 16S ribosomal RNA". It matches the Rfam family "Bacterial small subunit ribosomal RNA", at positions 330 to 801 of the family's 1533-position model. The record is from RNAcentral.